Molecule: ribosomal RNA, 513 nt
Filed under: uncultured bacterium
Lineage: Bacteria
Description: partial 16S ribosomal RNA
Rfam family: Bacterial small subunit ribosomal RNA
Source: RNAcentral
GAUGAACGCUGGCGGCGUGCCUAAUACAUGCAAGUCGAGCGAACAGACGAGGAGCUUGCUCCUUUGACGUUAGCGGCGGACGGGUGAGUAACACGUGGGUAACCUACCUAUAAGACUGGGAUAACUUCGGGAAACCGGAGCUAAUACCGGAUAAUAUUUCGAACCGCAUGGUUCGAUAGUGAAAGAUGGCUCUGCUAUCACUUAUAGAUGGACCUGCGCCGUAUUAGCUAGUUGGUAAGGUAACGGCUUACAAAGGCAACGAUACGUAGCCGACCUGAGAGGGUGAUCGGCCACACUGGAACUGAGACACGGUCCAGACUCCUACGGGAGGCAGCAGUAGGGAAUCUUCCGCAAUGGGCGAAAGCCUGACGGAGCAACGCCGCGUGAGUGAUGAAGGUCUUCGGAUCGUAAAACUCUGUUAUUAGGGAAGAACAAACGUGUAAGUAACUGUGCACGUCUUGACGGUACCUAAUCAGAAAGCCACGGCUAACUACGUGCCAGCAGCCGCCGUAA